This 474-nucleotide ribosomal RNA is filed under the name uncultured Desulfobulbus sp. RNAcentral describes it as "bacterial SSU rRNA". It matches the Rfam family "Bacterial small subunit ribosomal RNA", at positions 916 to 1381 of the family's 1533-position model. The record is from RNAcentral. Lineage: Bacteria; Pseudomonadati; Thermodesulfobacteriota; Desulfobulbia; Desulfobulbales; Desulfobulbaceae.
GACGGGGCCGGCACAAGCGGUGGAGUAUGUGGUUAAUUCGAUGCAACGCGAAGAACCUUACCUGGUCUUGACAUCCCGGAGACCCUUAGGAAACUAGGGGGUGCUUCCAUCUGGAAGAAUCUGGAGACAGGUGCUGCAUGGCUGUCGUCAGCUCGUGUCGUGAGAUGUUGGGUUAAGUCCCGCAACGAGCGCAACCCUUGCCUUUAGUUGCCAGCAGUUCGGCUGGGCACUCUAAAGGGACUGCCGGUGUUAAACCGGAGGAAGGUGGGGAUGACGUCAAGUCCUCAUGGCCUUUAUGACCAGGGCUACACACGUACUACAAUGGCCGAUACAAAGGGCAGCGACACUGCGAGGUGAAGCCAAUCCCGUAAAAUCGGUCUCAGUCCGGAUUGGAGUCUGCAACUCGACUCCAUGAAGUUGGAAUCGCUAGUAAUCGUGGAUCAGCAUGCCACGGUGAAUACGUUCCCGGGCCUU